CCCUUUCAAUGAGUCCACUGACCUCUUACUUCAUUUCAGAGGAAGCGCCCUUCGACUGCAAAGGUUUCAGCUUUAUUGUGGCGAGUUUCUUCUUGGCAAUCUCGUUCUGCCUCGCUUGGAUGCUUAACCCAGGAAUGAAGGACAAGGGCACAAAAGCUGCCGUUUCAGACAACGCUGAUGAGGAAGCAGCGCAAGGACCACUACUGGCAAAAUGGACCAGACCAUGACUCCAGCUUCAGGAAACUGAGCUAUAAAGCUCAGCUGGAGUGUGCGUAAAAUUGUAGGAUAUGUGAAUUAGAGUGCCAACAACAUAGGGCUUGCAUGUACCUGUAGUAUAGUGUCUGUACAUACCUCAGAACGAGAAAGCCGAUAAAGCUCGGUGUUUUGUGCCAUCCAGCCUUCACUGUUUCAGGCAAAUGGAUCUUUAU
Long non-coding RNA from Zea mays, 428 nucleotides. RefSeq lists it as uncharacterized. NCBI's taxonomy places the organism in Eukaryota, Viridiplantae, Streptophyta, Magnoliopsida, Poales, Poaceae. The transcript is spliced from 3 exons. The record is from RefSeq and is a predicted model, not a curated record.